UGCCUUACACAUGCAAGUCGAGCGGCAGCGCGGGGGCAACCCUGGCGGCGAGCGGCGAACGGGUGAGUAAUGCAUCGGAACGUGUCCUCUAGUGGGGGAUAACCAGUCGAAAGACUGGCUAAUACCGCAUGAGAUCGAGAGAUGAAAGCAAGGGACCGCAAGGCCUUGCGCGAGAGGAGCGGCCGAUGCCGGAUUAGCUAGUUGGUGGGGUAACGGCCUACCAAGGCGACGAUCCGUAGCUGGUCUGAGAGGACGACCAGCCACACUGGGACUGAGACACGGCCCAGACUCCUACGGGAGGCAGCAGUGGGGAAUUUUGGACAAUGGGGGCAACCCUGAUCCAGCCAUGCCGCGUGUGUGAAGAAGGCCUUCGGGUUGUAAAGCACUUUCGGACGGAACGAAAUCGCGCGGGUUAAUAGUCCGCGUGGAUGACGGUACCGUAAGAAGAAGCACCGGCUAACUACGUGCCAGCAGCCGCGGUAAUACGUAGGGUGCGAGCGUUAAUCGGAAUUACUGGGCGUAAAGUGUGCGCAGGCGGCCGCGCAAGUCGAGUGUGAAAUCCCCGAGCUUAACUUGGGAAUUGCGCUCGAAACUACGUGGCUGGAGUGUGGCAGAGGAAGGUGGAAUUCCACGUGUAGCGGUGAAAUGCGUAGAGAUGUGGAGGAACACCGAUGGCGAAGGCAGCCUUCUGGGCCAACACUGACGCUCAUGC
RNAcentral lists this ribosomal RNA (712 nucleotides) under uncultured soil bacterium. RNAcentral describes it as "bacterial SSU rRNA". It matches the Rfam family "Bacterial small subunit ribosomal RNA", at positions 45 to 752 of the family's 1533-position model. The record is from RNAcentral.